RNAcentral lists this ribosomal RNA (42 nucleotides) under Parastagonospora avenae. RNAcentral describes it as "partial 28S ribosomal RNA". The record is from RNAcentral. Lineage: Eukaryota; Fungi; Ascomycota; Dothideomycetes; Pleosporales; Phaeosphaeriaceae.
CAAAGAAUAUCAACACUUUUGACCUCGGAUCAGGUAGGGAUA